UGUCAAUUCACCUACUAAAGAAUAUGGC
RNAcentral lists this non-coding RNA (28 nucleotides) under Rattus norvegicus (Norway rat). The record is from RNAcentral. Lineage: Eukaryota; Metazoa; Chordata; Mammalia; Rodentia; Muridae.